This 273-nucleotide long non-coding RNA is filed under the name Ananas comosus (pineapple). RNAcentral describes it as "long non-coding RNA (ACOM_LNC042020)". The record is from RNAcentral. Lineage: Eukaryota; Viridiplantae; Streptophyta; Magnoliopsida; Poales; Bromeliaceae.
GCGGUGCCGCCAGUGCCGAACGGACAGGGUUUCCCCUGUACUGCGGACAGAGUCUCCCCUGUACGUUCAAGGCAACGCAAUCAAUCCAAUACGAAGGUUUCAACCAGGAACUGAUAUCAAUCAAGAUUGCAUAAUGGAAGGUAUCAACAACAUAACACAUCCUAUAUUAUUACAGCAUUCUCAUUCACACAUUCUUUUUACAUCUCAAUUCUCAUUCUUUUCCUCCAAAUACAAUCUUGGUUAUUACAUCACUUAGAUUACAAGUUGAAUACA